This 1947-nucleotide long non-coding RNA is filed under the name Capsicum annuum. RNAcentral's name for it is "long non-coding RNA (CANN_LNC002989)". Lineage: Eukaryota; Viridiplantae; Streptophyta; Magnoliopsida; Solanales; Solanaceae. The record is from RNAcentral.
GAAACACUUAAUUUAGGAGAUUUGUUUGUUAUGGAGAAUAACCGAAGGAACCAACUAAAUUCAUUUUAGACGACACAAACCAAGUGAGAAGAAAUACGAAUUGAGUAAGAAAAUCUCGAGAAAAUAGAAUGGCAACGUUUUAGGGAUUUAUCUAGAUUAAUUAUUUAAUACAAACAGUCAAGAUAAAUUACAAAAAUAAAGAAGGGUUGAGAAAGUGUACUUUCAGGCCCAUUUUUGGAUUCUGUUGGGCUGCAAAUUUAUGGACCUCGAGUCCAUUUUAACUCAUGGUAUAUCAGUUGUAUAUCACAGUUUUGUUUUGCUGCAUUUUCUAUAUAUUUGUUGUAUAUCAGUGUGAGCCGGGGGUCUAUCGGAAACAGCCUUUCUACUUCUUUAGAGGUAGAGGUGUGGACUGCGUACAUCUUACCCCCAGACCCCACUAGGUGGGAAUAUACUGGGUUUGUUGUUGUUGUUGUUGUAUAUCAGUGUAUAAGGACCCGUAUACUUGCUUCUGAUGUUGUUAUGCACCAUAUAUUGGCAUAUACCAACCAUCUUUAAUCUACAAAUCCCAUAUAUUUUCUGUAUAUUAAUGUAAGUCAGCUUUGAAUCAGUCAAUUUUCUUCAUGUAUUAGUUCAUUAUGGACUUUGAUGGGACUUGACUCGAUGGAUAUUGAAUGCGAAAAGAUGGGAGUCUGAUGGACUCGCUGAGAGAGUUCAUGCAUAAAAGGGGUGGGAAAGGAUUACGAGGAAAUCUUUAUCAACCUAACCACAUAUAUAGUAAAUAACCACCUUUCAAAUAAAAUACCAUAACUCAAUUUAAACAAGAUAAUCACACUUAUUAUGAAGUUUAGGAUUGAAAGAAAAUUCUGCAUCAUCUAUCAAAUAGGGCACCAAGGAAAUACCAUAAAGAACUAGUAUAGCAAUGUCCCGAUGUCAACAUGAUUAAUGUUGUAUAAGUAGUCCACCACAAAAAAACUCUAAUUGUUUAAUGAGCAUAACAACCGUUGAAACUACUCCAAUAUUGAAAGUAGAACUCUUCAAAAUUUUCUUUUUUUUUAAGAAAAAAACUUAAAGACUGCUAUGCACGGAGAUUGAUAAAGAAGUAUAUAAUCUUCUAAUUGAUAAGAAAAUUCAGUUCUAGAACAUGAGACAAACCAACAAUUCAUUUUAAUCUUUUGGUAGGUAAAGCUAAUAGAACGAAAUAAAGCAAAACCAAUAAAUUGCUUAAUUCAUGUUCAACCAAUUUUUAUAUAAAUAAAUAAAUUAGAUUUAAUCUAUGGCAAAAACUAAAUCAAAACAUCAUGGAACUAACUAAAUUUCACACUGCCUAACACCCAAAUAAGAACAAGAAAAAUAAGGGAGAGGAUUUACUUUUCUCGGGAAGGAACUGAAACGAACGAGCUUUAAAUGAACAAAAUUCCAUCGAAAUUUCAAUCCCGGAUCAUCGGUGCUUUACCUUUUUUUUUCGGAAUUAAAUUUUCAAGUGCGUUUCUUCUCGAAUUCUUUGAUUACGUAGGAUUAGAGGAAUGCUCCUCCCAAAUCCCUAACUUUUCCCCAAAGAAUUCUCUCUUUUCAACCUCUAUCCCUCAAUGUCCAUUUAUGAGAGAAAUUUGGGAGGAAAAAAUAGGGUUUCGAAUUUGAAAGAAUGAAUUUUAAAUCUAAAUUCAGGAAUUCACGGUGAGACAAAGACUAUUAAUGAUCUUUGUACUAAAAAAAUAGUGGAGAGAUAUGGAGAAAUAGACGUUGCCUCUAUUAUUAAAAAAUGAGAGUUAAUAGUUUGCCCAAAUGGUGAGCAUAGUCUGAAGAUAAUGAAAGAAUCUGAUUUUUUUACCAUAGAUGGUUGUACAAAGAGGGUAAAUCGGUAAGUGAAAGGGGUGGCUAGGGUUUUGGGGGUUGAUGUUGUUUUUAUCAUUGUUUGAUGGUUGUUGACUAUUGUUGUGUCGUAUAGAG